RNAcentral lists this ribosomal RNA (251 nucleotides) under uncultured bacterium. RNAcentral's name for it is "partial 16S ribosomal RNA". It matches the Rfam family "Bacterial small subunit ribosomal RNA", at positions 524 to 776 of the family's 1533-position model. The record is from RNAcentral.
UACGUAGGGUGCGAGCGUUAAUCGGAAUUACUGGGCGUAAAGCGUGCGCAGGCGGUCUGUUAAGACCGAUGUGAAAUCCCCGGGCUUAACCUGGGAACUGCAUUGGUGACUGGCAGGCUUUGAGUGUGGCAGAGGGAGGUAGAAUUCCACGUGUAGCAGUGAAAUGCGUAGAGAUGUGGAGGAAUACCGAUGGCGAAGGCAGCCUCCUGGGCCAACACUGACGCUCAUGCACGAAGCGUGGGAGCAACAGG